Molecule: microRNA precursor, 59 nt
Filed under: Dasypus novemcinctus (nine-banded armadillo)
Lineage: Eukaryota; Metazoa; Chordata; Mammalia; Cingulata; Dasypodidae
Description: miRNA (ENSDNOG00000039653.1)
Source: RNAcentral
CCGAGGCAGCCUGGCUCAGUGGAAAGGCAACGCGCUUUAGAGCCAGACUGCCUGGGUUU